UUGGGAGCUCAUUGGUUUCGGGUUCCAUCGGAACUUCGAAGUUAAGCGAGUUCGUGCGAGAGCAAUCCCAUGAUGGGUGAUCCACUGGGAAGUUGCUCGUGAGUUCCCAGAAAUAAAAUCGUGAGGGCGUGGUCGAGGUCCAAAGCGGACGAUAUCGUACUAUGGUGGAAUCGAGCCCGGGAUGUGGUGGGGGCUCAAGCCGGGAUGUGACAUGCUAUUUACAUUUUACACAACCAUUUUUAUCUCUUACACUUAUUAAUUUUUUGUUAUUGAUUUUUUUCAAUUCAUUCGACGUGACGGUCGGGAAUUAAGAGAUGUGUGUAAGAAAAAAAAAUAAGUGUGUGGAUAGCAUUACCAUUAUAUUAUUCUAGUUUAGAAAAUUAGGAAAAUCAGGGUAGACGAUGGAUUGUUCUAUUAGUUCUUCUCUAAUUUACCGUGUCUCGAACUCAAAAUCCCUUUCUAAACUUAAGAUACACUAAGUUAUAAAACUUACUGAAUGACAAGAAGACCGCAUAGCGCAGUGGAUUAGCGCGUUUGACUUCGGAUCAAAAGGUCGUGGGUUCGACUCCCACUGUGGUCG
This 580-nucleotide small RNA is filed under the name Malus domestica (apple). RNAcentral's name for it is "sRNA MD17G0168800". The stretch from base 507 to 580 matches the Rfam family "tRNA". The record is from RNAcentral. Lineage: Eukaryota; Viridiplantae; Streptophyta; Magnoliopsida; Rosales; Rosaceae.